GAUAUUGGGUACCUGGCUCUCGCCCGAAGACGCUGCUUUCCCAGCAAUUCACCACAGCGAAAGUCUGCCACCGCCCCCGCGCCGCAGACGGUAAAUCAGAGACUUACUCCAACCCCGAAGUGUAUACUGAAAGACUUGAUUAUCGUAAUAAAAGAACUAAAUGAGCUUGGAUUAAUUAUUGAUUUAACAUACACCAAGAUAUUAUGAAGUUAAGUAAUCUUGGAAUGGGUGUCUGGGAUUCAGAUGAAGAUGCAAAUCCCCCAACCGAUAAUUCUAUGGAAGAAUCCAGAGAAUGGCCUCUAAAUAAAGACUUUCAUGGGUAUUAGUAACAUGAUUUUAAAUGAAUAUUUUAUAAAAAUUAUGAAACAUAUUUUUAAAAUAAUAGAGUAGUGGGGGAAAUCCAUAGGAUUGGGAAUCAGGAAAUUUGGGUUCAGUGCUUAGCUCUGCCACUUACUAAUUGUAUGUGACCUAGAUAAGUGAUAACUUUUUAAGGCCACAAAUGUUUAAUUUAUAACAUAAGGAGUUGGACCAGAUCAGUUAGCUAUUCUUAUGCUAUAUUCUAAAAACACAGUGUUUCAUGAGAUAUUGUUAGUUUUACAGGAAUAAAAAGUAUUUUUUAAAGUCAAAUAAGUUUGGGAAAUGCAGCCCACUAUGACCAUGAACAUUCACUGAUUAAAAGCAUUAGACAUCCUGAAGAAACUUAUUAAAUUGUAUUUAGCCCAGCAUUUCCCCAACUUAUUUAAACACAGAACUUACUUUUUUCCCCCACAGAACAAGCAUUAUGAUAUGGGACAAUAAGGUUCUCCAAACUGGGAAAUGUUGAAAUAGAUCAUCUCUAUGCUCUUCAAAAUCUAAAAUGCUAUGAUUCUUAGUAAUAACUUGUAUUUAUUCUACCGAUAUAUCAGAAACUGAAUUAAGGUUUAUCAAAUGGUACUAGAAUCUUUUCUAUGACUUUCACAUAUAAUGUGUAUGUGUGUGUGUAUAUUUAUAAACUGACAAGACAAUAGAAAAAAAUCUUGCAAUCUUCUCUAUCUUUGAUAAGUUUCUACACUCUUUGGUGGCAUUUUUCUCUACAAAACUAAUUUCAGAAUACAUAGUACUAGUUUAAAUAUAAGAAAUCGUUUGUGUUUGUCUUUGGUUUGAUUUUUUGAGAAAAAAUGAAAUAUAUAACUUAUUUUCAAUACAUUGAGAUUAUCUACUGUGAACUAAUUUAAUACAAGUUGGAACAGACACAAUUCAGAAUUUUCUCUUUCCCAGGAGAAGGAGCACUUGAGCAGUGCCAAGCACUGUUAGGCAUUAGCCUCACAGGACAUAACGUACAGGAAGGGUGUACAGAGCUCUUCAACUUCCCACAGCACUUCAUAUUGCCUUGACACAGUUCCUUUCCCUCACACAAUCUCUGCUUUCCCAUUCUAAGGAAGGAUUUAUCUUCAACAUUGAAAAUAACUGUUAUAUUCCUGUUUCUUAUAAAUCCUUGGGAAAAUCCCUCUUAGGAGUUAGUGCCAGAGGCCGGGCACGGUGGCUCACGCCUAUAAUCCCAGCACUUUGGGUGGACGAGGUGGGCGGAUCACGAGGUCAGG
Cercocebus atys (sooty mangabey) is the source of this 1580-nucleotide long non-coding RNA. RefSeq lists it as uncharacterized. The record is from RefSeq and is a predicted model, not a curated record. Lineage: Eukaryota; Metazoa; Chordata; Mammalia; Primates; Cercopithecidae. The transcript has 3 exons.